This 1411-nucleotide ribosomal RNA is filed under the name Klebsiella variicola. RNAcentral describes it as "bacterial SSU rRNA". It matches the Rfam family "Bacterial small subunit ribosomal RNA". The record is from RNAcentral. Lineage: Bacteria; Pseudomonadati; Pseudomonadota; Gammaproteobacteria; Enterobacterales; Enterobacteriaceae.
UGCAAGUCGAGCGGUAGCACAGAGAGCUUGCUCUCGGGUGACGAGCGGCGGACGGGUGAGUAAUGUCUGGGAAACUGCCUGAUGGAGGGGGAUAACUACUGGAAACGGUAGCUAAUACCGCAUAACGUCGCAAGACCAAAGUGGGGGACCUUCGGGCCUCAUGCCAUCAGAUGUGCCCAGAUGGGAUUAGCUGGUAGGUGGGGUAACGGCUCACCUAGGCGACGAUCCCUAGCUGGUCUGAGAGGAUGACCAGCCACACUGGAACUGAGACACGGUCCAGACUCCUACGGGAGGCAGCAGUGGGGAAUAUUGCACAAUGGGCGCAAGCCUGAUGCAGCCAUGCCGCGUGUGUGAAGAAGGCCUUCGGGUUGUAAAGCACUUUCAGCGGGGAGGAAGGCGGUGAGGUUAAUAACCUUGUCGAUUGACGUUACCCGCAGAAGAAGCACCGGCUAACUCCGUGCCAGCAGCCGCGGUAAUACGGAGGGUGCAAGCGUUAAUCGGAAUUACUGGGCGUAAAGCGCACGCAGGCGGUCUGUCAAGUCGGAUGUGAAAUCCCCGGGCUCAACCUGGGAACUGCAUUCGAAACUGGCAGGCUAGAGUCUUGUAGAGGGGGGUAGAAUUCCAGGUGUAGCGGUGAAAUGCGUAGAGAUCUGGAGGAAUACCGGUGGCGAAGGCGGCCCCCUGGACAAAGACUGACGCUCAGGUGCGAAAGCGUGGGGAGCAAACAGGAUUAGAUACCCUGGUAGUCCACGCUGUAAACGAUGUCGAUUUGGAGGUUGUGCCCUUGAGGCGUGGCUUCCGGAGCUAACGCGUUAAAUCGACCGCCUGGGGAGUACGGCCGCAAGGUUAAAACUCAAAUGAAUUGACGGGGGCCCGCACAAGCGGUGGAGCAUGUGGUUUAAUUCGAUGCAACGCGAAGAACCUUACCUGGUCUUGACAUCCACAGAACUUUCCAGAGAUGGAUUGGUGCCUUCGGGAACUGUGAGACAGGUGCUGCAUGGCUGUCGUCAGCUCGUGUUGUGAAAUGUUGGGUUAAGUCCCGCAACGAGCGCAACCCUUAUCCUUUGUUGCCAGCGGUUAGGCCGGGAACUCAAAGGAGACUGCCAGUGAUAAACUGGAGGAAGGUGGGGAUGACGUCAAGUCAUCAUGGCCCUUACGACCAGGGCUACACACGUGCUACAAUGGCAUAUACAAAGAGAAGCGACCUCGCGAGAGCAAGCGGACCUCAUAAAGUAUGUCGUAGUCCGGAUUGGAGUCUGCAACUCGACUCCAUGAAGUCGGAAUCGCUAGUAAUCGUAGAUCAGAAUGCUACGGUGAAUACGUUCCCGGGCCUUGUACACACCGCCCGUCACACCAUGGGAGUGGGUUGCAAAAGAAGUAGGUAGCUUAACCUUCGGGAGGGCGCUUACCA